This 301-nucleotide ribosomal RNA is filed under the name uncultured bacterium. RNAcentral describes it as "partial 16S ribosomal RNA". It matches the Rfam family "Bacterial small subunit ribosomal RNA", at positions 509 to 807 of the family's 1533-position model. The record is from RNAcentral.
CAGCCGCCGCGGGAACACGUAGGUGGCAAGCGUUGUCCGGAAUUAUUGGGCGUAAAGGGCUCGCAGGCGGUUUCUUAAGUCUGAUGUGAAAGCCCCCGGCUCAACCGGGGAGGGUCAUUGGAAACUGGGAAACUUGAGUGCAGAAGAGGAGAGUGGAAUUCCACGUGUAGCGGUGAAAUGCGUAGAGAUGUGAAGGAACACCAGUGGCGAAGGCGACUUUCUGGUCUGUAACUGACGCUGAUGUGCGAAAGCGUGGGGAUCAAACAGGAUUAGAUACCCCCGUAGUCCCUGUCUCUUAUAC